This 224-nucleotide ribosomal RNA is filed under the name uncultured bacterium. Its description in RNAcentral is "partial 16S ribosomal RNA". It matches the Rfam family "Bacterial small subunit ribosomal RNA", at positions 524 to 776 of the family's 1533-position model. The record is from RNAcentral.
UACGUAAAAGACUAGUGUUAUUCAUCGUUUAGUAGGUUUAAAGGGUCCUAGACGGUAUAAUUAGUCUUAAACAAGAAACGGUUAUGCUAGAGUUAUGAUAUGAGAAGGGGAGUAUUUAUGGAGUAGAGUUGAAAUUCUUUGAUCCCAUAACGACUGGUAGCGGCGAAAGCAACCUUUUAUCUAAUAACUGACGUUGAGGGACGAAGGCUCGGGUCACGAACAGG